GGAGGGGGGCGAGCGUUAUUCGGAUUUACUGGUCGUAAAGCGCACGUAGGCGGCUAGGUAUGUCAAAGGGUGAAAGCCCUCGACUCAACCGAGGAACUGCCUUUGAAACUGCUUGGCUUGAGUCCGGGAGAGGGGAGCGGAAUUCCCAGUGUAGCGGUGAAAUGCGUAGAUACUGGGAGGAACACCGGUGGCGAAGGCGGCUCCCUGGACCGGCACUGACGCUGAGGUGCGAAAGCGUGAGUAGCAAACAGGAUUAGAUACCCUGGUAGUCCACGCCGUAAACGAUGGGCACUAGGUGCAGCGGGUGUCGACCCCUGCUGUGCCGAAGCUAACGCAUUAAGUGCCCCGCCUGGGGAGUACGGUCGCAAGGCUG
Molecule: ribosomal RNA, 373 nt
Filed under: uncultured organism
Description: partial 16S ribosomal RNA
Rfam family: Bacterial small subunit ribosomal RNA
Source: RNAcentral